This 217-nucleotide ribosomal RNA is filed under the name uncultured bacterium. RNAcentral's name for it is "partial 16S ribosomal RNA". It matches the Rfam family "Bacterial small subunit ribosomal RNA", at positions 328 to 539 of the family's 1533-position model. The record is from RNAcentral.
ACGCUCGACACCUAUGGGAGGCAGCAGUGAGGAAUAUUGGUCAAUGGGCGCUAGCCUGAACCAGCCAAGUAGCGUGAAGGAUGAAGGCUCUAUGGGUCGUAAACUUCUUUUAUAUAAGAAUAAAGUGCAGUAUGUAUACUGUUUUGUAUGUAUUAUAUGAAUAAGGAUCGGCUAACUCCGUGCCAACAGCCGCGGUAAUCUGAGCGGGCUGGCAGGC